RNAcentral lists this ribosomal RNA (301 nucleotides) under uncultured bacterium. RNAcentral's name for it is "partial 16S ribosomal RNA". It matches the Rfam family "Bacterial small subunit ribosomal RNA", at positions 509 to 809 of the family's 1533-position model. The record is from RNAcentral.
CAGUAGCCACGGUAAUACGGAGGGAGCUAGCGUUGUUCGGAAUUACUGGGCGUAAAGCGCACGUAGGCGGCUUUGUAAGUUAGAGGUGAUAGCCUGGAGCUCAACUCCAGAAUUGCCUUUAAGACUGCAUCGCUUGAAUCCAGGAGAGGUGAGUGGAAUUCCGAGUGUAGAGGUGAAAUUCGUAGAUAUUCGGAAGAACACCAGUGGCGAAGGCGGCUCACUGGACUGGUAUUGACGCUGAGGUGCGAAAGCGUGGGGAGCAAACAGGAUUAGAUACCCGCGUAGUCCCUGUCUCUUAUAA